RNAcentral lists this ribosomal RNA (492 nucleotides) under uncultured bacterium. Its description in RNAcentral is "partial 16S ribosomal RNA". It matches the Rfam family "Bacterial small subunit ribosomal RNA", at positions 29 to 507 of the family's 1533-position model. The record is from RNAcentral.
AGUGAACGCUGGCGGUAGGCCUAACACAUGCAAGUCGAACGGCAGCACAGUAAGAGCUUGCUCUUACGGGUGGCGAGUGGCGGACGGGUGAGGAAUACAUCGGAAUCUACUUUUUCGUGGGGGAUAACGUAGGGAAACUUACGCUAAUACCGCAUACGACCUACGGGUGAAAGCAUGGGAUCUUCGGACCUUGCGCGAUUGAAUGAGCCGAUGUCGGAUUAGAUAGUUGGCGGGGUAAAGGCCCACCAAGGCGACGAUCCGUAGCUGGUCUGAGAGGAUGAUCAGCCACACUGGAACUGAGACACGGUCCAGACUCCUACGGGAGGCAGCAGUGGGGAAUAUUGGACAAUGGGCGCAAGCCUGAUCCAGCCAUACCGCGUGGGUGAAGAAGGCCUUCGGGUUGUAAAGCCCUUUUGUUGGGAAAGAAAAGCAGCAGGUUAAUACCCCGCUGUUAUGACGGUAACCAAAGAAUAAGCACCGGCUAACUUCGUG